GCGGGGCCCGUCAUCUGGUGAUGACGCCUGCCUCACAAGCAGGAGAAGGAGAGUUCGAUCCUCUCGCCCCGUA
This is a non-coding RNA of Myxococcales bacterium 68-20, 73 nucleotides long. The record is from Rfam. NCBI's taxonomy places the organism in Bacteria, Pseudomonadati, Myxococcota, Myxococcia, Myxococcales.